RNAcentral lists this non-coding RNA (27 nucleotides) under Homo sapiens (human). The record is from RNAcentral. Lineage: Eukaryota; Metazoa; Chordata; Mammalia; Primates; Hominidae.
GUGCUGUACGUCUUUGUGGACAUCCGG